Molecule: RNA transcript, 2366 nt
Organism: Corythoichthys intestinalis (scribbled pipefish)
Lineage: Eukaryota; Metazoa; Chordata; Actinopteri; Syngnathiformes; Syngnathidae
Gene: trub1
Gene name: TruB pseudouridine (psi) synthase family member 1
Exons: 9
Source: RefSeq, a predicted model, not a curated record
AGAAGAGUGACGUUUUCCAAUGUCCACCUAAUUAAAUCAAAAACAGCAUGGCUGGAACUCAUGUAGCUGCACCUUUGACUAGUUCUCUUUCUAAAUUGCAGUCUUUGAAUGGACUAUUUGCAAUUUACAAAAAGAAAGGACCGACUUCUGCAGAUGUUUUGAACACACUUAAAGAAACUUUACUCAAGGAAGCCGGUGUGAAGAAUCCGAACCCGAGGAAAAGGAAGAAACAAAGUCUGAAGAUGGGCCAUGGAGGAACGCUCGAUAGUGCUGCCAGUGGAGUAUUAGUUGUUGGUGUUGGAAAUGGCACAAAAAUGCUCAGCACAUUGUUGGCUGGUUCCAAGAAAUACACUGCUGUAGCAGAGUUGGGUAAAGCAACAGACACUCUCGAUGCAACUGGCAGUGUUACUGAGGAAAAAGACUUCAAACACAUUACCCAUUCGGAUGUGGAGGAGAAGCUGAAAAGUUUUGUCGGCAAUAUUAUGCAAGUCCCACCACUUUACUCGGCAUUGAAAAAAGAUGGACAGCGAAUGUCUGUCCUUCUGAAGAAAGGUGAGAAGGUUGAAGCGAAACCUGCAAGAUCCGUCACAGUGUACAACUUGACCCUACAAGAGUUCAAGCUGCCAUUCUUCACGUUGGCAGAUAUUGAAUGCGGCGGUGGAUUUUACGUGAGGAGCUUGGUAGAUGACCUUGGAAAAGCGCUCUCAUCAUGUGCUCACGUCAAGCAGCUGAUCCGUACCAAGCAGGGUCAGUUUACCUUGGAACAGCACGCCUUACAUGAGGAUCAAUGGACACUGGAACACAUCGUCAAAUCAAUGCAUCCAUGUCCAGAAUUGGACCAGAAUCUGGACGCUGUUGCAGAGCCGGAAGGUGGAACAUGAGUGACAGUCUUUAGUGAAAAAUUCAUUCCGUUUUUGGACAGCAAUCGGUGUCUGUUAUUCAUUCUUGUUGGCUUUUUUUUCUUUUUUUUUUUUUUUUUAAAUUAGGUGGAAAUCAUCACAAUAUUUUGGUCAAUUUUCUUCAACUUGUGUUAGUUUACAGAUUUUAAACUAUAAAUAGUGAUUAUUCGAACUAUUCAAAAUUCUAGCAUUUUGUACAUUUCAAAAUAUUGUUUGUCUUUUUGAUCAUGUUUGAAACUGAAGUAGAAGAAAUGCUACCUUUGAACAUUAAAAAGUGCAUUUCUGUCACACCACCAACAAUUUAACAUUUUCUACCAAACUGAUCAGAGAAAUUAUUAGAUUUUUGUUGUUGUGGUCCUUGCUGCUACAGUCUGCUUAAAAGGCUCAUUUUCACCAUAUUUUCAGCACUAUAAGGCACACCUAAAAGCUUUGUUUUUUCUCAAAAGCAGACUGUUUUCCUUAUGCAAUAUAUGGAUCAAUAUUGGUUAAUCAUGUUAUGACAUUCCCUUUAGCGCAGUACCAUUAAGUGGAUUUAUAAUGCAACCACCACCACUACUACUGCACCUUAUAAUGCGGUGCACCGUAUAUAUGAAAACCGUUUUAAAAAUAGGCCAUUCAUUGAAGGUUCAACUUAUACUCCGAUGCGCUUUAUAGUGCGGGAAAUAUGGUACAAUUAAACAAGUACUGACAGCAAUUUACAUACUCCUAAAUUAUCUUUCAACUGUUUUAUGCUUAUAUGAUGCAUAAUGCGUAUAAAAGGGCAAAUGGACCCAUACUGCUGCAUUCAUUUGUGGGUCGGUGCAUAAGCAUGUUAUGAUACAACAUUGCGACAGUUGUCUUUCAUCACUGGUGGAAAAGAGGAUUGCAACAUACCCAAAUAGUUUCAAAUCAGGUAGUCCCCAAGUUACGACGUACUCGACUUAAUGUGAUUUGGACUUCACUACGCCAGGUCUCAAGAAGAACAAGAACAAGAAAGCCCGCAAACAGUUUGCUGAAGACAUGUCAACAAAGAACAUGGAUUACUGGAACCAUGUCCUAUGGUCUGAUGAGACGGGCAGGCUUUCUUGUGUACUGUCUUCAGAAGAGGCUUCCACCUGGAGUGACAGCCAUGCACACCAAUUUGAUGUGGAGUGUGGCGUAUGGACUGAGCACUAACAGGCUGACCCCCCACCUCUUCAAUCUCUGCAACAAUGCUGACAGCACUCCUGUAACGAGUCACGUGACAUUUUGGAGGGAAAAUGACAAGCAGUACUCAAUUUGGACAUUUUGGGAUGUACGUUUUUUCAUGGGGGUGAACUCACUUUUGUUGCCAGGGGUUUAGAUAUUAAUGGCUAUAUUCUGAGUUAUUUUGAGGGGAAAAUAAAUGAACUCUAUUAUAUAAACUGCACACAGACUACUUUUCAUUGUGUCAAAGUGUCAUUUUGUCAGUGUUGUCCCAUGAAAAGAUAUACUAUAAUAUCUUAAGGA